Molecule: ribosomal RNA, 425 nt
Filed under: uncultured bacterium
Lineage: Bacteria
Description: partial 16S ribosomal RNA
Rfam family: Bacterial small subunit ribosomal RNA
Source: RNAcentral
GUGGGGAAUCUUGCGCAAUGGGCGAAAGCCUGACGCAGCCAUGCCGCGUGAAUGAUGAAGGUCUUAGGAUUGUAAAAUUCUUUCACCGGGGACGAUAAUGACGGUACCCGGAGAAGAAGCCCCGGCUAACUUCGUGCCAGCAGCCGCGGUAAUACGAAGGGGGCUAGCGUUGCUCGGAAUUACUGGGCGUAAAGGGCGCGUAGGCGGACAGUUUAGUCAGAGGUGAAAGCCCAGGGCUCAACCUUGGAAUUGCCUUUGAUACUGGCUGUCUUGAGUACGGGAGAGGUGAGUGGAACUCCGAGUGUAGAGGUGAAAUUCGUAGAUAUUCGGAGGAACACCAGUGGCGAAGGCGGCUCACUGGCUCGAUACUGACGCUGAGGUGCGAAAGCGUGGGGAGCAAACAGGAUUAGAUACCCGGGUAGUCC